CGACAGGCGUAGCCGGAGAGUUAGCUGUUCUCUGUAACUGCAAAUCAGCUUUAGGCAGGGCUAAGCUCUGAAGGCGAUUAAUGGGUUUGAUAGCAAGCUUAUAUCUUAUCUAAGAAGCCUCGCCUUAAGGGAUGUACUAGUUUGCGAACCGUGUCAGGCGGGGAACCGAGCAGCACUAAGCAAGCUAGUGCGUGCUCUUGAGAUACGGGGUGGAGAAAGGAUAAUAAGGACUGCUAUUAAAUCCAUUUUUCCACUUCAGGGCGUGCCUGUCA
Molecule: signal recognition particle RNA, 272 nt
Filed under: Candidatus Woesearchaeota archaeon
Lineage: Archaea; Nanobdellati; Candidatus Woesearchaeota
Description: signal recognition particle sRNA
Rfam family: Archaeal signal recognition particle RNA
Source: RNAcentral